GUCUACGGCCAUACCACCCUGAGUGUGCCUGAUCUCUUCUGAUCUUGGAAGCUAACCAGGGUCAGGCCUGGUUAGUAUUUGGAUGCGAGAAGAAAUUCCACCUGUGAACA
RNAcentral lists this ribosomal RNA (110 nucleotides) under Oryctolagus cuniculus (rabbit). The record is from RNAcentral. Lineage: Eukaryota; Metazoa; Chordata; Mammalia; Lagomorpha; Leporidae.